AAAUACUACACCUAUAAUAACUUUAGAAAAUGCACAAAAAUAAGAAUAAUUAAUAAAAAAAGUUUAUUUUAAGAAAAAAUGGCUUCCAAAAAGCAAUUCUCAAGAAUAGUUGCUGCUUUGUUGUGUCUUCUGUUUCUUCUAGCUUCCACUGCCACUGCAAAAAGACAUUUGCUUCAAUCUCCUCCUGAUGUAGGUAAUCUUCCGCCAUCUUAUAAAGACAUCCCAUGGAACAGUAAAGGUCCCUACGGAGGAUGAGUUCAAUGUCACACACUUGGCCAGAGACAAAAGUUAAAGACUUUAGAGAGAAAAAAUUAUACUAAGAUUGUCGUUGUUAAGUGUAAUGAAUAACGUAGUUUUUUCUAUGUAAUAAAUAAUCCGGUUUUUAUCGGAGAUCUGAUAACGAUGAGGUUUGUUGUUUAGAGUCUAAUUUACCUUAAAUUUGAUUACAGUGUCAGCAUUAGGUUGAGGGCAGGAUUUGAAUGUUUGCUGUUGUUUAUAUUAUUAAUAACGUAACAUCUUAAGUUUAAGAA
Long non-coding RNA from Cucumis sativus (cucumber), 530 nucleotides. RefSeq lists it as uncharacterized. The record is from RefSeq and is a predicted model, not a curated record. The transcript has 2 exons. NCBI's taxonomy places the organism in Eukaryota, Viridiplantae, Streptophyta, Magnoliopsida, Cucurbitales, Cucurbitaceae.